Molecule: ribosomal RNA, 128 nt
Filed under: uncultured Epicoccum
Lineage: Eukaryota; Fungi; Ascomycota; Dothideomycetes; Pleosporales; Leptosphaeriaceae
Description: partial 5.8S ribosomal RNA
Rfam family: 5.8S ribosomal RNA
About the family: 5.8S ribosomal RNA (5.8S rRNA) is a component of the large subunit of the eukaryotic ribosome.
Source: RNAcentral
UGCAUCGAUGAAGAACGCAGCGAAAUGCGAUAAGUAGUGUGAAUUGCAGAAUUCAGUGAAUCAUCGAAUCUUUGAACGCACAUUGCGCCCCUUGGUAUUCCAUGGGGCAUGCCUGUUCGAGCGUCAUU